Molecule: ribosomal RNA, 253 nt
Filed under: uncultured bacterium
Lineage: Bacteria
Description: partial 16S ribosomal RNA
Rfam family: Bacterial small subunit ribosomal RNA
Source: RNAcentral
UACGGAGGGUGCGAGCGUUGUCCGGAAUCAUUGGGCGUAAAGGGCGCGUAGGUGGCCCGGCAAGCGUGCGGUGAAAGCUCGGGGCUCAACCCCGAGUCGGCCGUGCGAACUGCUGGGCUCGAGCACUGUAGAGGCAGGCGGAAUUCCGGGUGUAGCGGUGGAAUGCGUAGAGAUCCGGAAGAACACCGGUGGCGAAGGCGGCCUGCUGGGCAGUGGCUGACACUGAGGCGCGACAGCGUGGGGAGCGAACAGG